Molecule: long non-coding RNA, 2410 nt
Filed under: Octopus vulgaris (common octopus)
Lineage: Eukaryota; Metazoa; Mollusca; Cephalopoda; Octopoda; Octopodidae
Source: RNAcentral
UUUCGUUUUUUUGAAAAAGCCAAGUUUUGUGGAUUUUUGCAAAACAACGCUGUACUCACACGCAUAUUUACAUCACCUUCGAAACGUAGAGUAUGAAACCAUGGCGACUGAAGAAGGUUUUUUUCCUUGUGUUAUUUGUCCUGUACUCUAUUUUCUUUGUUGUUUAAAAAAAAUGUCAAUUCCUUUGGUUUGUGUCUAUGUUUUCGUUUCUCAUGGUGUUCGACGUUUUUUUGGUGUCCUGUACUCAUAUAUGCGUGUAUAUAUACAUGUAGGGGUAGGUACGUACAUAUAUGUAUAUAUAUAUGCAUAUGUUUUAUUUAUUAAUAUAUUAUAUAUAUAUGCAUAUACGAGGAGGAGGAGGACCCCACCUUCGUGUCAUGAAUAUACAUGAGAUAGAACCUAGAAAUUACCCUCCGGGGCAAAAUCCGGGGAAGGUUGUUUGUGGAAGGCCAGCAGUCGUCCAUGCAUUCCACCCUUCUCUCUCCACGCCACUCAUUUCUACAGCUGAGUUAACUGCUGCAGCGUGAAAUAAAGUGUCUUGCUCAAGAACACAGCACGCGGCCCGGUCUACGAAUCGAACUCACAACCUCACGAUCGUAAGCUCGAGGCUCAAACCACUGAGUCAUUCACACUAAUCUCUCUCUCCCUCUCUCUCCCUCUCUCUCUCUAUAUAUAUACAUAUAUGUAUGUAUGUACAUAUAUUGUUACGAAAAUGUGUUUUUCUUGGGAAGAAAACGAAAUAGUGGACUUCGUUUGGGCUUGUAGAUUCGAACCCGAAUCUAUAGAACACCCUUCAAUGUUACAACGGUAUUUUCAUGCAGAAAAUACGUUGGCUGGCAGCAGUGGCGCUCAAUACAUGGCCUUCCAAUCUGAUUUAUAUAUUUUAUACUUGACCCUUGUGACCCGUUCUAUGCCACAUCAUGCGGAAAAUAGAUAAGAAUCACACACAGCAGUUUUUCUCCCCCCAUUGUUAUCAGCGAUAUGUCUCUUCUUCUCGCUGUUCUGUGACAAUUAUAAAUACUAAAAUCCCGCAAGGAUUAAUAGUUGAUCAAAGGGCUUUGUGCGAUAAAGACCACCACAGACGACUAUAACACAAUUUUCACCAGCUGACAUUUCAAUAGCAAAUGUCAUUUUAUCUGUCUCUGCUGCUGCCUAUCACCUUUUAAGGGCUUACUACUGCAAAUGACAUACACAGUAAACACACAACACUAGAAGAUAGAGAUAUCCCUUUUGUUUUGACUGGCUUAUUGAGAAUUUGAACUCUGAUAUUUUGUGACGAGUUUGUAUCUCCAGCACUUGAUUUGCUACCAACAAGGACUGACUAACUCUAAUGUUUUGUGACGGCUUUGUGCCGAGAAUUCUAAUAUAUUACGACAGCUUUCGCUGAAUUCCAUGUAAGUUUGACACUUCUUUCUCAGUGUAUAACUGAAUUAUUAUGGACUUGUUUCUUCUAUUUGCUGUUUCCUUUUGUCUAACCGUAACAACAUUGGAGGCUCCUCCGAGAUAUCGAAUUCAUUUUGAUAUUCAGAGAUACUUUGUAAAAAAAAAAAAAGAAAAAUCAUCAGAAAUCCAUCUUAUUUUUCUGCAUAAUCUUUCUUUCCCUUUGCAAACAUAUUAACUGAAACCAAAAAAAGAUAAAUAAAUAAAUGAAAAAAGAAAAUACAAUCUUGUAAAUUAGAGGAUUUUCUUAAAUCUCCCACCCUUGCGCAAAUCGGAUCUAUUGUAAAUUUCUGCACAUUUCCAACUUGAGGCUAAACCUGUUACGAUGAAAUUUCAGAUUUUAGAAAUUGCUUUGAAUCACUUCGUGGAUGAAGGGGGUCUUCGGAGUCGAUGUUUUGGAGAAUGUAAAUGAAGAACAUUCCGACCAUGGGGGAAAUAAAAUGGCUUGAGGUUCAAUUGGAACGGAAAAAAUUAGCAAAAGAAAUUGACUUUACAAAGAUUGAAAUUGAAAGGUAAACUGAGCUUAAAAAGUUGGAAACUUCUUUUCCUCCCUCACACCCAUCCCGUUUCGAAGUUGCGAGACAUGCCAGACCGGUUCCCACUUUGAAUGAAAGAGAGGGGGACAAGUAUUUUCUACAUUUUGAAGAAAUUUGUUGGAAACCUGAAGUGGUCUAAGGAGUCAUGUGAGCCGUGAAGCUCAGGCCACAUUUUCGGCCUUAUGUGUAGAGCAAAGUUCAGAUUACGAUCUGGUUAGGAUGCCCCUUCAAAAAGCCUAUGUGUUCGUGCCCGAAGCUCAUCGAUAAAAAUUUAGGAAUGCUUAUAACAGGGACCCUCUUUACACUUUACUCUUUUACAUGUUUCAGUCAUUUUGACUGUGGCCAUGCUGGAGCACCGCCUUUAGUCGACCAAAUCGACCCCAGGACUUAUUCUUUGUAAGCCUAGUACAUAUUCUAACGGUCUCUUUUGCCAA